UCCGGUUUAACACCGGCAGUCUCGUUAGAGUGCCCGCCAUGACGCGCUGGCAACUAACGAUAGGGGUUUCGCUCGUUAUGGGACUUAACCCGACACUUCACAGCACGAGCUGACGACAGCCAUGCAGCACCUGUGAUAGUUCCGGAUUGGAUACCGGUCGUUCGUGUUUCCACGUUCUACUUCUACCAUGUCAAGUCCAGGAUAAGGUUCUUCGCGUUGCUUCGAAUUGAGCCACAUGCUCCACCGCUUGUGUGAGCCCCCGUCAAUUCCUUUGAGUUUUAGCCUUGCGACCGUACUUCCCAGGUGGCAGACUUAACAAUUUCGCUACGACCGCAACGGGGUGUAACCCGCUGCAAUCUAGUCUGCAUCGUUUAGGGCGUGGACUAC
RNAcentral lists this unclassified non-coding RNA (387 nucleotides) under uncultured Tepidisphaerales bacterium. Its description in RNAcentral is "contains 16S-23S intergenic spacer region". The record is from RNAcentral. Lineage: Bacteria; Pseudomonadati; Planctomycetota; Phycisphaerae; Tepidisphaerales.